GGGGUAGAUUCUGUUAAAUAGUUUAUUGUGUUUUGCUCUAUCAUGGAUACGUUUGUCUUAGUGUAUUUUGCAUUACUUUUGUUGUAGAUUAAAUGGCACCUAGCAACACCACACCGUUUGCUUUGCGUUCGGUCUUUGAAAAGGACAAGUUGAAUGGAACAAACUACUCGGAUUGGAUCCGUAACCUGAGAAUUGUUCUCAGGGCCGAUAAAAAGGAAGAUGUUCUAGAC
Molecule: long non-coding RNA, 230 nt
Filed under: Setaria viridis
Lineage: Eukaryota; Viridiplantae; Streptophyta; Magnoliopsida; Poales; Poaceae
Description: long non-coding RNA (SVIR_LNC009219)
Source: RNAcentral